GACGAAGGGGGGCUAGCGUUGUUCGGAAUUACUGGGCGUAAAGCGCGUGUAGGCGGUUGCCCAAGUCGGGUGUGAAAGCCUUGAGCUCAACUCAAGAAAUGCACUCGGUACUGGGUGACUAGAGGACCGGAGAGGAUAGUGGAAUUCCGAGUGUAGAGGUGAAAUUCGUAGAUAUUCGGAAGAACACCAGUGGCGAAGGCGACUUACUGGGACACGUAUUGACGCUGAGGUGCGAAAGCGUGGGGAGCAAACAGG
This 255-nucleotide ribosomal RNA is filed under the name uncultured bacterium. RNAcentral describes it as "partial 16S ribosomal RNA". It matches the Rfam family "Bacterial small subunit ribosomal RNA", at positions 524 to 776 of the family's 1533-position model. The record is from RNAcentral.